This 1010-nucleotide long non-coding RNA is filed under the name Brassica napus (rape). RNAcentral describes it as "long non-coding RNA (BNAP_LNC020904)". The record is from RNAcentral. Lineage: Eukaryota; Viridiplantae; Streptophyta; Magnoliopsida; Brassicales; Brassicaceae.
CUAGAAGAAAGAUAAAAUAAAAGGAUAAGUGUAAAAUAAAUGAAGUAGAGGGCACAUGUCCCCUUUUAGCCUUCUGUUCUUGAAAGGGAAGCCAAAAUAGUUUCACUUCGGUAUUUUCUCAGCCACUGCUCUUAUUUGGGACCUCCCUUCGUAAAUUUGUAUAUUUUAUGUGUCAAUUCCUGUAUUUCGUUCUCAAUUAGUUUGUUGGCAUAUGGAGUAUAUUUUAUUUUAAAGAAAGAUAAAAACGAAGAAUUUCCAGAUUCCAGCUGUGAAUUUAUCCCUUUCUCGAUCAAAAGUCCAUUUUGGCGUUUGUUAUGCGACCAUCUUCUCGCGAUGUCACCGUUUUGACGUCCAUGCAAAAUAGUUUGCAGAUAAUUUAUCCCUAUCCCCACUUCUCAUUGAUUACAUCUAUCUUCUACCUAAAUAUUACACAUAUAUGUAAACCCGUUUUAUGUUUAAAUGAAUAAUAUACAAACAUAUUCACUUUUAGCAAGUCUACGAGGAAAAAAUGUUUCUGUAGCAAGGGUUGAUUGUACAAAUAUUUUUUUUUGUAUUUAUCACGUUCUACGAACAAAACUUUUGUACUUUUGUAUAUAUUUACGAAAUUACUUUGUUCACAUAGUGAACUAUUAGAAGCUUACUGGUUGUUUUUUACUUGACAUAGAUAUGUAAAUGGACUGACGUAUAUUAAUCAUACAUAUUAUUUAGUGGAAGAACACCACCAUCAUGAAUUAGUUUAUUUGUUUUAAACUAUGUAUAAAUUAGUUUAAUUAGUUGCCACAUAUAUGUAACUAUUUUGGUGCAUACAAGUAAUGUUAAGUGAUUAUUGUUGAACCAUUCAAAAAUAUUUUCUUUGCGCAGGCGUUGUGGUAAGGGUCGGCACAUAAGCUGUAGAAGCCGUGUGUUUCAAGGUUUGAUGGUGCAUUUAUUUCUGAUAGCUCACGGUAACUGUAUAGGCCAUUCUACUAAUUUUUCGUUUAAAUGACAUUCACUUUUCCGUUGGUGUCCGG